CCUACGGGUGGCAGCAGUGGGGAAUAUUGCACAAUGGGGGAAACCCUGUUCCAGCAACGCCGCGUGAGCGAUGAAGGCCUUCGGGUCGAAAAGCUCUGUCCUAAGGGAGGAAUCCUGAGGGUACCUUGGGGGGAACCCCGGGGUAACUACGUGCCAGCAGCCGCGGUAAUACGUAGGGGGCUAGCGUUUUCCGGAAUUACUGGGCGUAAAGGGUGCGUAGGCGGCCCUUCAAGUCAGAGGUGAAAGGCUACGGCUCAACCGUAGUAAGCCUUUGAAACUGUAGGGCUUGAGUGCAGGAGAGGAGAGUGGAAUUCCCAGUGUAGCGGUGAAAUGCGUAGAUAUUGGGAGGAACACCAGUUGCGAAGGCGGCUCUCUGGACUGUAACUGACGCUGAGGCACGAAAGCGUGGGGAGCGAACAGGAUUAGAUACCCCAGUAGUC
This 440-nucleotide ribosomal RNA is filed under the name uncultured bacterium. RNAcentral's name for it is "bacterial SSU rRNA". It matches the Rfam family "Bacterial small subunit ribosomal RNA", at positions 338 to 795 of the family's 1533-position model. The record is from RNAcentral.